This 890-nucleotide ribosomal RNA is filed under the name Epicoccum sorghinum. Its description in RNAcentral is "partial 28S ribosomal RNA". It matches the Rfam family "Eukaryotic large subunit ribosomal RNA", at positions 56 to 964 of the family's 3401-position model. The record is from RNAcentral. Lineage: Eukaryota; Fungi; Ascomycota; Dothideomycetes; Pleosporales; Didymellaceae.
GAAAAGAAACCAACAGGGAUUGCCCUAGUAACGGCGAGUGAAGCGGCAACAGCUCAAAUUUGAAAUCUGGCGUCUUUGGCGUCCGAGUUGUAAUUUGCAGAGGGCGCUUUGGCAUUGGCAGCGGUCCAAGUUCCUUGGAACAGGACGUCACAGAGGGUGAGAAUCCCGUACGUGGUCGCUAGCCUUUACCGUGUAAAGCCCCUUCGACGAGUCGAGUUGUUUGGGAAUGCAGCUCUAAAUGGGAGGUAAAUUUCUUCUAAAGCUAAAUACUGGCCAGAGACCGAUAGCGCACAAGUAGAGUGAUCGAAAGAUGAAAAGCACUUUGGAAAGAGAGUUAAAAAGCACGUGAAAUUGUUGAAAGGGAAGCGCUUGCAGCCAGACUUGCCUGUAGUUGCUCAUCCGGGUUUUUACCCGGUGCACUCUUCUACGGGCAGGCCAGCAUCAGUUUGGGCGGUUGGAUAAAGGUCUCUGUCAUGUACCUCCUCUCGGGGAGAACUUAUAGGGGAGACGACAUGCAACCAGCCCGGACUGAGGUCCGCGCAUCUGCUAGGAUGCUGGCGUAAUGGCUGUAAGCGGCCCGUCUUGAAACACGGACCAAGGAGUCUAACAUCUAUGCGAGUGUUUGGGUGUCAAGCCCGAGCGCGUAAUGAAAGUGAACGGAGGUGGGAACCUUUCGGGGUGCACCAUCGACCGAUCCUGAUGUCUUCGGAUGGAUUUGAGUAAGAGCAUAGCUGUUGGGACCCGAAAGAUGGUGAACUAUGCUUGAAUAGGGUGAAGCCAGAGGAAACUCUGGUGGAGGCUCGCAGCGGUUCUGACGUGCAAAUCGAUCGUCAAAUUUGGGCAUAGGGGCGAAAGACUAAUCGAACUAUCUAGUAGCUGGUUCCUGCCGA